RNAcentral lists this ribosomal RNA (872 nucleotides) under uncultured bacterium. RNAcentral's name for it is "bacterial SSU rRNA". It matches the Rfam family "Bacterial small subunit ribosomal RNA", at positions 26 to 898 of the family's 1533-position model. The record is from RNAcentral.
AGGAUGAACGCUGGCGGCGUGCUUAACACAUGCAAGUCGAGCGAAGCAUAAAAACAGAUUUCUUCGGAAUGAAAUUUUUAUGACUGAGCGGCGGACGGGUGAGUAACGCGUGGGUGACCUGCCUCAUACAGGGGGAUAACAGACAGAAAUGUCUGCUAAUACCGCAUAGGCGCACAGUGCUGCAUGGCACAGUGUGAAAAACUCCGGUGGUAUGAGAUGGACCCGCGUCUGAUUAGCUAGUUGGUAAGGUAACGGCUUACCAAGGCGACGAUCAGUAGCCGGCCUGAGAGGGUGAACGGCCACAUUGGGACUGAGACACGGCCCAAACUCCUACGGGAGGCAGCAGUGGGGAAUAUUGCACAAUGGGGGAAACCCUGAUGCAGCGACGCCGCGUGAAGGAAGAAGUAUUUCGGUAUGUAAACUUCUAUCAGCAGGGAAGAAAAUGACGGUACCUGACUAAGAAGCCCCGGCUAACUACGUGCCAGCAGCCGCGGUAAUACGUAGGGGGCAAGCGUUAUCCGGAUUUACUGGGUGUAAAGGGAGCGUAGACGGCAUGGCAAGUCUGGUGUGAAAGGCAGGGGCUCAACCCCUGGACUGCAUUGGAAACUGUCAGGCUGGAGUGCAGGAGAGGUAAGUGGAAUUCCUAGUGUAGCGGUGAAAUGCGUAGAUAUUAGGAGGAACACCAGUGGCGAAGGCGACUUACUGGACUGUAACUGACGUUGAGGCUCGAAAGCGUGGGGAGCAAACAGGAUUAGAUACCCUGGUAGUCCACGCCGUAAACGGUGAAUACUAGGUGUCAGGGAGCAAAGCUCUUUGGUGCCGCAGCUAACGCAAUAAGUAUUCCACCUGGGGAGUACGUUCGCAAGAAUGAA